RNAcentral lists this ribosomal RNA (496 nucleotides) under uncultured bacterium. Its description in RNAcentral is "partial 16S ribosomal RNA". It matches the Rfam family "Bacterial small subunit ribosomal RNA", at positions 28 to 506 of the family's 1533-position model. The record is from RNAcentral.
GAUGAACGCUGGCGGCGUGCCUAAUACAUGCAAGUCGAGCGAACAGACGAGGAGCUUGCUCCUCUGACGUUAGCGGCGGACGGGUGAGUAACACGUGGAUAACCUACCUAUAAGACUGGGAUAACUUCGGGAAACCGGAGCUAAUACCGGAUAAUAUAUUGAACCGCAUGGUUCAAUAGUGAAAGACGGUUUUGCUGUCACUUAUAGAUGGAUCCGCGCCGCAUUAGCUAGUUGGUAAGGUAACGGCUUACCAAGGCGACGAUGCGUAGCCGACCUGAGAGGGUGAUCGGCCACACUGGAACUGAGACACGGUCCAGACUCCUACGGGAGGCAGCAGUAGGGAAUCUUCCGCAAGGGGCGAAAGCCUGACGGAGCAACGCCGCGUGAGUGAUGAAGGUCUUCGGAUCGUAAAACUCUGUUAUUAGGGAAGAACAAAUGUGUAAGUAACGAUGCACGUCUUGACGGGACCUAAUCAGAAAGCCACGGCUAACUACGU